UCCAGCCACGACUGGGAAGCCGGAGAACGUUUCACCUGCACGGUGAAGCACCACGAGCUCCAGCUGCCCCUCAACAAGACCAUCUCCAGACCUUCAGGCAAGGUCUCCCCGCCCCUCGUCUUCAUCCUCCCGCCCCACCCCGAGGAGAUGACCCGCACCUUCUUCAUCUCCAGCAAGAUGAUGGUCCUCAGCGGCAGCUGGGCGGGCGGGGACACCUACACCUGCAUGGUGGUCCACGAAGGGUUGCCCAUGAAGUUCACCCAACGCCAGGCGCAGAAGAACCCCG
This is a non-coding RNA of Phaethon lepturus (White-tailed tropicbird), 286 nucleotides long. The record is from the annotation of a RefSeq genome assembly. NCBI's taxonomy places the organism in Eukaryota, Metazoa, Chordata, Aves, Phaethontiformes, Phaethontidae.